Molecule: small nucleolar RNA, 214 nt
Organism: Chelonoidis abingdonii (Abingdon island giant tortoise)
Lineage: Eukaryota; Metazoa; Chordata; Testudines; Testudinidae
Gene: U3
Rfam family: Small nucleolar RNA U3
About the family: Small nucleolar RNAs (snoRNAs) are involved in the processing and modification of rRNA in the nucleolus. There are two main classes of snoRNAs: the box C/D class, and the box H/ACA class. U3 snoRNA is a member of the box C/D class.
Source: Ensembl
AAGGCUAUGUUUUCAGGGAUCAUUUCUCUAGUUGGUGACUGGAGAAGGAUGGUUGUCAAAGCCUGGCUUUGCUAACCAUGAUGAAGAACUGUAGUGUUUCUUUCUGAGUAUGAUAAUAGCUGAGAGUGCUGUUCUGUGGCAGCUGCUUUCUGCUGUGGAAGAGUGUCUUGCUCUUCCUGAGAAGAGCAGGCGAAGGAAACACAGUCUGAGUGGU